AUUGAACGCUGGCGGCAUGCUUUACACAUGCAAGUCGAACGGUAACAGGCCGCAAGGUGCUGACGAGUGGCGCACGGGUGAGUAAUGCAUCGGAACGUGCACAGUCGUGGGGGAUAACUACUCGAAAGAGUAGCUAAUACCGCAUACGAUCUAUGGAUGAAAGCGGGGGACCGUAAGGCCUCGCGCGAUUGGAGCGGCCGAUGUCAGAUUAGGUAGUUGGUGGGGUAAAGGCUCACCAAGCCAACGAUCUGUAGCUGGUCUGAGAGGACGACCAGCCACACUGGGACUGAGACACGGCCCAGACUCCUACGGGAGGCAGCAGUGGGGAAUUUUGGACAAAGGGCGCAAGCCUGAUCCAGCAAUGCCGCGUGCAGGAAGAAGGCCUUCGGGUUGUAAACUGCUUUUGUACGGAACGAAACGGCUCUGGUUAAUACCCGGGGCUAAUGACGGUACCGUAAGAAUAAGCACCGGCUAACUACGUG
RNAcentral lists this ribosomal RNA (482 nucleotides) under uncultured bacterium. RNAcentral's name for it is "partial 16S ribosomal RNA". It matches the Rfam family "Bacterial small subunit ribosomal RNA", at positions 30 to 507 of the family's 1533-position model. The record is from RNAcentral.